RNAcentral lists this non-coding RNA (22 nucleotides) under Arabidopsis thaliana (thale cress). Lineage: Eukaryota; Viridiplantae; Streptophyta; Magnoliopsida; Brassicales; Brassicaceae. The record is from RNAcentral.
CGCAUCAUUCGUUGAUAAUGCA